ACAGAUCAUGAGGGGUGCCUUAAUACAACGGGCUGAGAUCAUACCCACAAGACCUGAUCCGGGUAGUGCCGGCGAAGGGAAAUGAGUAACCAAUUGC
Molecule: non-coding RNA, 97 nt
Filed under: Mariniradius saccharolyticus AK6
Lineage: Bacteria; Pseudomonadati; Bacteroidota; Cytophagia; Cytophagales; Cyclobacteriaceae
Also listed under: 1 other name
Description: TPP riboswitch aptamer (THI element)
Rfam family: TPP riboswitch aptamer (THI element)
About the family: Vitamin B(1) in its active form thiamin pyrophosphate (TPP) is an essential coenzyme that is synthesised by coupling of pyrimidine and thiazole moieties in bacteria. The previously detected thiamin-regulatory element, thi box was extended, resulting in a new, highly conserved RNA secondary structure, the THI element, which is widely distributed in eubacteria and also occurs in some archaea.
Source: Rfam by way of RNAcentral